RNAcentral lists this ribosomal RNA (301 nucleotides) under uncultured bacterium. RNAcentral's name for it is "partial 16S ribosomal RNA". It matches the Rfam family "Bacterial small subunit ribosomal RNA", at positions 509 to 807 of the family's 1533-position model. The record is from RNAcentral.
CAGCAGCCGCGGUAAUACGAAGGGGGCUAGCGCUGCUCGGAAUGACUGGGCGUAAAGGGCGCGUAGGCGGAUGGCACAGUCAGAUGUGAAAUUCCCGGGCUUAGCCUGGGGGCUGCAUUUGAUACGUGUUGUCUAGAGUGAGGAAGAGGGUCGUGGAAUUCCCAGUGUAGAGGUGAAAUUCGUAGAUAUUGGGAAGAACACCGGUGGCGAAGGCGGCGACCUGGUCCUUUACUGACGCUGAGGCGCGAAAGCGUGGGGAGCAAACAGGAUCAGAUACCCGAGUAGUCCCUGUCUCUUAUAC